RNAcentral lists this ribosomal RNA (414 nucleotides) under uncultured microorganism. RNAcentral's name for it is "bacterial SSU rRNA". It matches the Rfam family "Archaeal small subunit ribosomal RNA", at positions 459 to 872 of the family's 1478-position model. The record is from RNAcentral.
CAGCAGCCGCGGUAAUACCGGCGGCCCGAGUGGCGGCCACUAUUAUUGGGCUUAAAGCGUCCGUAGCCGGGUUGGUUAGUCUCCCGGGAAAUCUGGCCGCUUAACGGUCAGAAUUCCGGGAGAUACUGCCAGCCUAGGGACCGGGAGAGGCCGAGGGUAUUCCCGGAGUAGGGGUGAAAUCCUAUAAUCCCGGGAGGACCACCUGUGGCGAAGGCGCUCGGCUGGAACGGGUCCGACGGUGAGGGACGAAGGCCAGGGGAGCAAACCGGAUUAGAUACCCGGGUAGUCCUGGCGGUAAAGGAUGCGGGCUAGGUGUCGGGUGAGCUUCGGGCUCGCCCGGUGCCGUAGGGAAGCCGUUAAGCCCGCCGCCUGGGGAGUACGGCCGCAAGGCUGAAACUUAAAGGAAUUGGCGGG